RNAcentral lists this ribosomal RNA (173 nucleotides) under uncultured Actinomycetales bacterium. RNAcentral describes it as "partial 16S ribosomal RNA". It matches the Rfam family "Bacterial small subunit ribosomal RNA", at positions 337 to 522 of the family's 1533-position model. The record is from RNAcentral. Lineage: Bacteria; Bacillati; Actinomycetota; Actinomycetes; Actinomycetales.
UCCUACGGGAGGCAGCAGUGAGGAAUAUUGCGCAAUGAGCGAAAGCUUGACGCAGCGACACCGCGUGCGGGAUGAAGGCCUUAGGGUUGUAAACCGCUUUCGGCAGGGACGAAGCGAAAGUGACGGUACCUGCAGAAGCAGCCACGGCUAACUUCGUGCCAGCAGCCGCGGUA